Long non-coding RNA from Trichosurus vulpecula (common brushtail), 1961 nucleotides. RefSeq lists it as uncharacterized. The transcript has 3 exons. The record is from RefSeq and is a predicted model, not a curated record. Lineage: Eukaryota; Metazoa; Chordata; Mammalia; Diprotodontia; Phalangeridae.
AUCCUGUCUGGGAAGUCCUUCUCCUGUCUCAUGGCUAAUCUCAGGCAGAUCCUUUCUGAACUGACUCAGAGUUUUUUGUUGGAUUACUUUUCCAUCUGACUCAAGGGCAGAGAUGCUGAGACUUUCUCGACAUGCUCCUCAGAGUGAUUUAUGGUCUGGGACCAGUGGCGAAUUGAAUUUCCUUUGUAUGGUGUAGUGGAGGACCCGGGCAUAACUCAGUCGCAUCCAUCACUAAUCGUGAUUCAGUCUGCUGGCUAGCCUGAUGCUGCUAUCUGGAGAAGACAGCUGGAACAGACAGUAAUAGAUACUGGCAGCUGACAGAAGGAGGGAGCAUGGUCUGAUACACAGCAUCAGUUGUCUCUGACCUAGAGGGGUUCUUCUACCAAGGGAAGGCCUGCACAACCGAGCUCAGCUGGAGGAAGAUGAAGCCAAGCUGACACAAAGCUGACUUUCAAGAGGCCUAAGGAAAAUGCAACCCCAUCUUCUUCAAAAACUGUAACCUUAAGAGUGUUUCUCUCUGUGAAGGUACUUUUCCAUGUUGUCACUUUAUCCCUGAUUCUGUGGGUAAUGCAGCUUUACAAGCUUAUGCAAAGCAACCCAGACUUUGUUGACCAAAGAAUGAUAGAUGAUACAUUGGGAGACAAAAUCAGGAUCUAAAAAGACUUUGCUUCAGCGAUGAGCCAAAUUAAGAAGAUGAAACUGAUUAGGCAUAACACGUAAAGGCAAAAAUAGCCCCCUACCCAGGAAGAGAAAUCUUUUUCAUUAAAGACAUGGUGAAAAAGACAGAGGUUUUAGUUAACUGGAAAUUUAAGAUGAAUAAACAGUGUGAUGUGACUAUUUAAAAUAUGCACAUAAUGUUAGGCUGCUUACAUGGAAAGAUAACAUCUGGAAGAAAUAAGAUGGCAAGGCCGCCAUACUCUAUGUUGGUCUGCCCACCUAUGGCCCCACAGUAUAAAAGAGUCUGACAAAUUGGAGCAUAUCAUAGGAUUGAAAACUGGGCAAAUUCAAUAUUUUACAGAUGAAGACAAUCAGACUCAGAGAGAGGGGAGUGGAGGUGACUUGUUCAAGGUCACACAAGUAGGAAGAAGCAAAGUUGGGCUUGGAAACCAGUUCUUUUGACUUCAAAGUCAGUUCUUUCUACUGGAUGGCUCUCCCUCAACUCGGAGAAGGGUGAUUAGGAUGGCGAAAGGACUAGAAACCCCACCAUAUGGGGAAUGGUCAAAUAAAGCAGUGAAAUUUAACCCCAAUAACAGAAAUAAGGACUAAAUGGUCACUAUCUUUGAAUGUAUGAUAAUAGUAGUAGUCUGUGGUCAUGCACCACUUUAAAAUUUUCAAAGUACAUUUGGAUACAUCACCUCGUUUGAUCCCACAACAACUCUGUGAGGUAUGGGGUUAUAAUUUGUUCCCUUUUAUAGACAAGAAAACAGGCUUAGAAAUUACUUGCUCAUGGUUACCCAGUGUCAGAAACAUAAUUCCAACCCAAAUCUUUCCAUACACAAUCUAGGAUUCUCUCCGUUACAAACAAAAAAAGGAUUAAAUUUAUUCUCUGCAAGACCAAAAGAAAUUGGAACCAAUGGAUAGAAAGUAUGGAGAGAAGGAUUUUUAGCCCAAUAUAAGGAAGCAUUCUAAUAUCGGAACACUGACAAAUGUAGUGAGCUCCUUGUUACUAGAAGCAUUCAAACAUGAUCAUCCAUUAGGAAUGUUGUCUACAAAAGGAUUUCUGCCAGGGAUAGGAGUUUAGGCAAGAUGAUCUCUAAUGUACCUUCUUAAGACUUUAUGAUUUUAUACAUUGAAAGGAAAAAUCCUUGUGAGGAGACGUUACCUUCUUGUUCAGACACACCCCACCCUUUCCAAAUUAACCUUAGCCCUCUUCAAAUGCAAGGGUUCCUCCUCUUAUUGUGUGGGAUAGAUCUUGCUUUUAUGGGAGGGUAAUAUUACUUAGUACCUUAAGGGUACUUUAA